GUCCUGAUAGCUCAGUUGGAUAGAGUGAUUGCUUCCGAAGCAAUAGGCCAUGGGUUCGAGUCCCUUUCAGGACACCA
RNAcentral lists this transfer RNA (77 nucleotides) under Tenericutes bacterium ADurb.BinA124. RNAcentral describes it as "tRNA-Arg". It matches the Rfam family "tRNA". Rfam says of the family: Transfer RNA (tRNA) molecules are approximately 80 nucleotides in length. Their secondary structure includes four short double-helical elements and three loops (D, anti-codon, and T loops). RNAcentral also lists the same sequence under 1 other name. The record is from RNAcentral. Lineage: Bacteria; Bacillati; Mycoplasmatota.